GACAGCAGUAGCCACGGUAACACGGAGGGUGCAAGCGUUAAUCGGAAUUACUGGGCGUAAAGCGCACGCAGGCGGUCUGACAAGUCAGAUGUGAAAUCCCCGGGCUUAACCUGGGAACUGCAUUUGAAACUGUCAGGCUGGAGUCUUGUAGAGGGGGGUGGAAUUCCAGGUGUAGCGGUGAAAUGCGUAGAGAUCUGGAGGAAUACCGGUGGCGAAGGCGGCCCCCUGGACAAAGACUGACGCUCAGGUGCGAAAGCGUGGGGAGCAAACAGGAUUAGAUACCCCGGUAGUCCCUGUCUCUUAUAC
Molecule: ribosomal RNA, 306 nt
Filed under: uncultured bacterium
Lineage: Bacteria
Description: partial 16S ribosomal RNA
Rfam family: Bacterial small subunit ribosomal RNA
Source: RNAcentral